CGAUGGGAGGGCAUUCUGGCUACCACAUCUAUUACCCAUGUAUUUUCCAGAGAUGGUUCUGCUACUCUGACUUGCUAAGUGGGGUCCCUUUUUUUUACCUUCAACUCUCCAUCUGCAUCCCUCCCACAACUCAGUUGAAAAGGAUGACCUUCCCAUUUAGAGAAGAAAUCAUUUUCAAGCAAGGGAAUCAAAGUUCUUGAAUUCCCCAAGUGUCAUUAUGAAACUAGCUCUGUUUGUGGAGGGUAAACAGUUUCCUUUAAUUUGCUAAGUCCUUCUACCUCUUUUACAAUAGAAGGAGAUAGUG
This 304-nucleotide small nuclear RNA is filed under the name Panthera pardus (leopard). RNAcentral describes it as "7SK RNA (ENSPPRG00000015428.1)". It matches the Rfam family "7SK RNA". From Rfam's summary of the family: 7SK was discovered as an abundant small nuclear RNA in the mid-70s but a possible function has only recently been suggested. Two independent studies have found that 7SK RNA binds the CDK9/cyclin T complex (known as elongation factor P-TEFb). Lineage: Eukaryota; Metazoa; Chordata; Mammalia; Carnivora; Felidae. The record is from RNAcentral.